RNAcentral lists this RNase P RNA (356 nucleotides) under uncultured Mailhella sp. RNAcentral's name for it is "Bacterial RNase P class A". It matches the Rfam family "Bacterial RNase P class A". From Rfam's summary of the family: Ribonuclease P (RNase P) is a ubiquitous endoribonuclease, found in archaea, bacteria and eukarya as well as chloroplasts and mitochondria. Its best characterised activity is the generation of mature 5'-ends of tRNAs by cleaving the 5'-leader elements of precursor-tRNAs. The record is from RNAcentral. Lineage: Bacteria; Pseudomonadati; Thermodesulfobacteriota; Desulfovibrionia; Desulfovibrionales; Desulfovibrionaceae.
GAGUCGGACGGGCUGUCGCUGCGGGCCGCAAGGCCCGGGGAGGAAAGUCCGGGCUUCACAGGGCAGGAUGCUGGCUAACGGCCAGGGCGGGCGACCGCCGGCAAGCGCAACAGAAAGCAGACCGCCGUCCUCCGGGGCGGUAAGGGUGAAACGGUGAGGUAAGAGCUCACCGGCUGACGUGGCGACACGUCAGGCCAGGCAAGCCCCAUCCGAAGCAAGACCAAAUAGGGAAACCGGCCGGCCCGGCCCAUGGUUUCCGGGUAGGUUGCUUGAAGGCGCGGGCAACCGCGUCUCUAGAGGAAUGACAGCCGCCGCCCUCCCGGGCGGUACAAAACCCGGCUUACAGUCCGGCUCCU